This 332-nucleotide ribosomal RNA is filed under the name Eohomopterus aequatoriensis. RNAcentral's name for it is "partial 28S ribosomal RNA". It matches the Rfam family "Eukaryotic large subunit ribosomal RNA", at positions 644 to 836 of the family's 3401-position model. Lineage: Eukaryota; Metazoa; Arthropoda; Insecta; Coleoptera; Carabidae. The record is from RNAcentral.
AGGACCCGUCUUGAAACCCGGACCAAGGAGUCUAGCAUAUAUGCAAGUCAUGGAGUCAAUUAUAUAGACUCAUAGACGUAAUUAACGUAAAGGUAAUAUUACGAAUUUAUAUAUUAAUAAUUUAAUUAUUAUUGUAUAUAAAAAUUUACCAAAGGAAGAUAAAUAGUGUUUAUUAAGCUAUUUCGCAUUCCUGGGGCGUUCUAUAUAAAUUUUUAAUUGUUAUUAUUUAUUGGAUUAUUUAUUGAUAAUAUAUUGGAUUUUUUUUUUUCAAUUAAAAAUUUGGAGCGCACCAAGAGCAUAUACNCUGGGACCCGAAAGAUGGUGAACUAUGC